Molecule: ribosomal RNA, 253 nt
Filed under: uncultured bacterium
Lineage: Bacteria
Description: partial 16S ribosomal RNA
Rfam family: Bacterial small subunit ribosomal RNA
Source: RNAcentral
UACAGAGGUCUCAAGCGUUGUUCGGAUUCAUUGGGCGUAAAGGGCGCGUAGGCGGCGGGGUAAGUCGGGUGUGAAAUCUCAGGGCUCAACCCUGAAACUGCACUCGAUACUGCUCUGCUUGAGGACUGGAGAGGAGACUGGAAUUCACGGUGUAGCAGUGAAAUGCGUAGAUAUCGUGAGGAAGACCAGUGGCGAAGGCGGGUCUCUGGACAGUUCCUGACGCUGAGGAGCGAAAGCGUGGGGAGCGAACAGG